This 72-nucleotide transfer RNA is filed under the name Pangasianodon gigas (Mekong giant catfish). RNAcentral describes it as "tRNA-Glu". It matches the Rfam family "tRNA". Rfam says of the family: Transfer RNA (tRNA) molecules are approximately 80 nucleotides in length. Their secondary structure includes four short double-helical elements and three loops (D, anti-codon, and T loops). The record is from RNAcentral. Lineage: Eukaryota; Metazoa; Chordata; Actinopteri; Siluriformes; Pangasiidae.
UCCCUGGUGGACUAGUGGUUAGGCCACAGCGCUCUCACUGCUGCAACCUGGGUUCAAUUCCUGGCCAGGGAA